AGUAAUUGGGGUAGCCGGUGCCUGGGGAGAGGUGUAAUAGUGAAGUGGUGUUAAGUCUUGUGAUGGGAGCUUGGAGCCUAGGAAGGUUGCUCUGGAUCUGCCUGUUUCAGAAGAGUAACAGCUGGUGGUGAGCAGAGCUGGCUGAAUAAGGACUGGCUCAGAAGGGAUGCUGGAGAAGAUCAAGCUUGGCACAUUUUCUCUGCACUGUACACUUGUGACCCUUGGAGCUGCUCAGUACCAACUGGCAGUAUACUGUAACUCAGUCAAGCCUGACACACUCAUUGCCCCAACACUGUCAUAAUGAUACCUUACAUGACACCGUUGAGAGAGAUGUAAACUGGUGACACGCUGGUCCUGACAAUUGUGUUGUAUGUAUGGAUUGUACUGGAACUAUAACUCUUUUAACACAUCUAUGUUCUUAAAAUGUAUUUGGGAGGCAGCACAUAAAUCCAGCCUGCCCUAGACAAAGAAAUGUAGAUUUCCCUGUUUGUCUGGGUUGGUUACAGGCAGAGGACAAUGAAAGAUAAAGAAAGCCACCAAGCUAAACAAGCAGUGGAGAAGACUGACACUUUAACAAUCACAGUGGGGGGCAGAAUCUGUACCUCAGGAAGCUUUUGGUAUAAACUGUGGACCUUGAGCUAUAUACGGAGAGCAAAAAGACCUUUUAGUUGACCCUUGCAUGAUGGAUAUAGGGUACCGCAGUCUUCAAACCUAUGGAAAACUGGAUUUCCCUAGUCUGGAGGGCUAGGGAUACUGGUUACUUGACAUAAUAAUGGAAAUUGCUUAGUGUCACAGAUGUACACAGCACUUUAAAAAGAUGAGAGGCUCGAUUGUGACCUUGCAUCAGUUUUACAUGGGUGUUUAAAUGGAAACAGCUCAUUCAAGUGCUGCUAGGGCCAAGACUUCGAAAGAGAAGGUUUGCUGCUGGAAUGAGUGAUUGUGUGUGUCAGGCAAAAGCGGGUCAUCCACUUGGAACCAAAGUGAACAGUUGCUUUCUGCCUCCUCAGAUUGAGGCAUCAAUUUGGUUAAUAUGAUGGUGGUCAGCAGCUAGGGGCUGGAAAAAUUAUACAUGGAACAAACAAAUUAAUCAAGUACACCAAAACAGACAAAACAAAGCCUUUCCAAAGUGUUUUUCUCAAAGUUGUUAUUUAAAGCUUUCAUGUGGCUUUCACCCACAUUGCAUGGCAUGGGGCAUGACUGAGGUAUACAAAGGCAUCUAGGUACUAGGUCAAAUGGGGAACAUGUUUCCUGAAUUUAGCAGCAAUCACUAGACAUUGUUCAUUUAUAAUGUAUGCUUGUUUCCAAUGCUAUACCACAAAACCCCUUUGUGUGGGAUGCAACAUGUGGGGCAGGUUUCCCCCUCCUGCAUAAAAUCCCACAGGAAGGAACCCUGGGAAAGGGGAUAGGGCUUUCUUUGAGUUCUUUCAUUGGGAAUAGGGGAUGCAGAAGAGGUUGGGGUCUUGGUCCUCUAAUCUUCUGAGAUCUGAAUGGAUCUUAAGGGAAUAUGCUGAAGGUACAGGUCCAUCAGGGUGAAGAUUCUGUGCCCAUGCACUGGCUUAGAGCCCCUCUCUCCUGAGCAGCCUGGCAGUGUGGCUCCACCUGAGCCCAGCUAGAGUUUGGCUGCCCUGAAAUCCUCUAAGAGUGUUCCACAGCUCUGAGAGAGCGUCAUGAGACUAUUACAUUGCCAAUGUGGAAUCCAUGCACUGCUGUGGCAGAGGAGGUGAUGAUGCACAGAGCUACCUUAGAAGAAUGAAGGGAAGAACUGACCCAUCUUGCAUCUGUAACUGUGAUUCCAAGGAAUCCAGCCAUUCCAAACCUUCUGCUCAGACUACUAAGUCACCAAUUCAGACCAGUUUACCAGUAGGCCGAGUAUAGGAUGCUGCACAAUUGUCCUUGAGUUUGUCUGUUCUAGUGGCCUUAGCCAGAGUUCAGAUACAUCAAGAGCCCUACAUAGCGACAGAAGUCAAGACUAUUAAUUGAAUACGAGACAAGUCCUUGAGUAAAAUGAGAAGGAUUUGGCUUUAGAAUUGACACAAUCGGAAACUUCUGUUGCUGGUCUGUCAGCGGACACAAAAUGCAAACAUUUUUGUUCUGAAAAUAGCUUCUUGAGUGUCAUUAAAGAUUGCUGUAGCUUUGGAGAGCAAUAAAAUAGAGCAACAAGAAACAGGACAAAUCCAUUUCCGCUUGGGAUGUAGGAAAGUUUUAUUUUAGAAUGUCCGACUCUUGAGACUUCUCCGUGUACUUAGACAGUGCAUAUGAAACUAAUUAUGGGAAAGGUGACUGAUGGCUGAUGGACAAAGUUUACUGGCUUGUGUUAUACAGUCCAGAAAACAUUACAUGACCAUUCCCAGCUGUUGUUCCAACUGGGUACCACCAGCUGUCACAUCAAAUCACAUCACAAACUAAGAAUAAAGAAAUCCCCCAUAUGCUCCCUCCCUAAAAACUUUAAAGCCCGUGGUUUUUUUUCAUGAACGCUGAUUCAUCUGAUUACACUUUACCUUCCAGGAAACAGAUGGUAAACACAGGGCAAACUCACUCCAGCAUGCUAACCAAUAACUCUUGUUUUGAAAACUGCGUCUAAGCUGUCAACUUCAUUUGGGCAGCACUUGGCUUUCUCAAAAGAUUGCUCAGAAUCCAGAUUUUUAAUAUGUGAAAUACAGUAAACCUGGGCAUUACCUGAGCCCUUGCUUAAGGGACGCUUUGCUUUAAAUGCUUUUCCAAUCUAUUUUAACCAAUAAUUAAAUCCCUUCCAUAACGAGAACCUGCACUGGACAUCUUCCACAAGUUAGUUGUACUAAAUUGAGACAGUAUAAUCUAACCCCUCUGCCCCCUCUGGUUCCAGCAGCUCGGUCCAGGUGAAAGAGAGAAAUUCUUUGGGGCUGUACUGUGUAUAAUUAUCAUCACCCCUUUCUGGUCAGCUGGACGGGCAGUCCCCCCGCACCUGGUCCAGCUGCUUCCUGCUUCUACCCACUCUGUCUGGGUAAACUUUUCCCUUCCUACCUCUCUGCUACCACUUGCCCAGGGAGCCAUUAAAAAAGCAACAACCCCUUUUCUUUCACCCAGGUGGCCGUGGACCCCCCACAUACAGCUGCAGUGAGCACUUUACAAGAACAGCUGGUCAAAUAUAUUAUUCAGAUAAUUUUGUUUAUUUACGUAAAAUACUUUGUGACAAAUUAUGUUUUGCCAUAUUCAGACAGCUCUCUAUGCUGAUCAAAUGCUCUAAGCAUUCUACAGGAACUCAGAGUUUUAUUAAUAUUAAUUAUCCUAUAUAAUGAACAAAUAAUUUAUUUAGCAAAUACUAGCAUUAAAGACUCUUUUUUUCUGUUACUUGACCAACUAUUGCAAUCAUCUUGCA
Dermochelys coriacea (leatherback sea turtle) is the source of this 3355-nucleotide long non-coding RNA. RefSeq lists it as uncharacterized. The transcript has 5 exons. NCBI's taxonomy places the organism in Eukaryota, Metazoa, Chordata, Testudines, Dermochelyidae. The record is from RefSeq and is a predicted model, not a curated record.